Molecule: unclassified non-coding RNA, 153 nt
Filed under: uncultured Helotiales
Lineage: Eukaryota; Fungi; Ascomycota; Leotiomycetes; Helotiales
Description: sequence contains ITS1
Source: RNAcentral
AAAAUGAAGCCGGGAAACCGGUCCUUCUAACCCUUGAUUAUCUUAAUUUGUUGCUUUGGUGGGCCGCGCAAGCACCGGCUUCGGCUGGAUCGUGCCCGCCAGAGGACCCCAAAUUCUGAAUGUUAGUGUCGUCUGAGUACUAUAUAAUAGUUA